CCUACGGGAGGCAGCAGUGAGGAAUAUUGGUCAAUGGACGAGAGUCUGAACCAGCCAAGUAGCGUGAAGGAUUACUGCCCUAUGGGUUGUAAACUUCUUUUAUAUGGGAAUAAAAUGUGCCACGUGUGGUAUUUUGUAUGUACCAUAUGAAUAAGGAUCGGCUAACUCCGUGCCAGCAGCCGCGGUAAUACGGAGGAUCCGAGCGUUAUCCGGAUUUAUUGGGUUUAAAGGGAGCGUAGGUGGAAUGUUAAGUCAGUUGUGAAAGUUUGCGGCUCAACCGUAAAAUUGCAGUUGAAACUGGCAGUCUUGAGUACAGUAGAGGUAGGCGGAAUGCGUGGUGUAGCGGUGAAAUGCUUAGAUAUCACGAAGAACUCCGAUUGCGAAGGCAGCAUACUGGACUGCAACUGACACUGAGGCUCGAAAGUGUGGGUAUCGAACAGGAUUAGAUACCCUUGUAGUC
Molecule: ribosomal RNA, 460 nt
Filed under: uncultured bacterium
Lineage: Bacteria
Description: partial 16S ribosomal RNA
Rfam family: Bacterial small subunit ribosomal RNA
Source: RNAcentral